CAGUAGCCGCGGUAAUACGGAGGGAGCUAGCGUUAUUCGGAAUUACUGGGCGUAAAGCGCACGUAGGCGGCUUUGUAAGUAAGAGGUGAAAGCCCAGAGCUCAACUCUGGAAUUGCCUUUUAGACUGCAUCGCUUGAAUCAUGGAGAGGUCAGUGGAAUUCCGAGUGUAGAGGUGAAAUUCGUAGAUAUUCGGAAGAACACCAGUGGCGAAGGCGGCUGACUGGACAUGUAUUGACGCUGAGGUGCGAAAGCGUGGGGAGCAAACAGGAUUAGAUACCCGCGUAGUCCCUGUCUCUUAUAC
This 301-nucleotide ribosomal RNA is filed under the name uncultured bacterium. RNAcentral describes it as "partial 16S ribosomal RNA". It matches the Rfam family "Bacterial small subunit ribosomal RNA", at positions 509 to 807 of the family's 1533-position model. The record is from RNAcentral.